This 909-nucleotide long non-coding RNA is filed under the name Homo sapiens (human). Its description in RNAcentral is "HSALNT0146422". Lineage: Eukaryota; Metazoa; Chordata; Mammalia; Primates; Hominidae. The record is from RNAcentral.
AUUGCUUUUUAUUAUUUGUUUUUUUCUGAACAUUUUUGAUCUGCAGUUGGUUGGAUCUAGGAUGUAAACUGCAAGUGUGGCAGGCCGACUGCACUGUUUUGUUACUAGAGGGAGUGAGAACACACCUGUGGACUUGAGCACCUUCCAUUCACCAGUUGCUCCAUGGGCAUACUCUAAUUCAGGUCUCCCCACAACCCUCUGAGUUAAUAUUUCUCUCCCCAUUUUAAAGAUGAGAAAAUAAAGCCUAGACAGUUUAACUUGGCUUCUGUUUUGAAACUAGCUGAGAGAUGAAUUAGGCUUUGAUCCAUGUCUAUCAGCUUCAACCUUCAUGCUUUUUCUUCUGUACCCCAGUGCCUGUUAAAUUUUGGAAAUCCCAGAAACAGCCCACAAACUUGGGUUAAUCUUAGAGAUUUUGACAAUGUCCUUUGAGAACCAGUGCACUACAGAAACACAAAACCCUUUGCAUAUUGUCAUUGAAUAAAUUGUACCAUUGAGACCUGAACCAAGAGUUUUAGAUAUGUAAGUUAGAAACAGUAGAUACUAGGUGUAGUCGGUGCAAAAGUAAUUGUGGUUUUUGACAUUGAAAGUAGUGGCAGCUGGGUGCAGUGUCCAUCUCAAAACAAAAACAAAAACAAACAAACAAAAAAAUCUAAUUUUAAAAUAAGCUUGCUCUCAAUGGUAUUUUUUUUAAGUGGUAAAGAAAAGGAAACUAAAAAAAUAACAAAAAUCUCGAAGCUCCAGUCAAUCUAAAGUCCAAUAACCUCUCUCUCUGUUUUUUUUUUUUUUUUUGAAACAGGGCUUUGCUUUGUUGCCCAGGCUGGAGUACAGCAAUGCAAUUCUGGCUCACCACAACCUCUGCCUCCAGGGCUCAAGCAACCCUCCUACCUCAGUCUCUGGAGUAGCUGGGAC